GCGUAGGGCCGCCAUGUUGCAGCAGGAUAGUAAUGAUGACACUGAAGAUGUUUCCCUGUUUGAUGCAGAAGAGGAGACGACUAAUAGACCAAGAAAAUCCAAAAUCAGACAUCCAGUAGCAUCAUUUUUCCACUUAUUCUUUCGAGUCAGUGCAAUCGUCAUCUACCUUCUCUGUGAGUUGCUCAGCAGCAGCUUUAUUACCUGUAUGGUGACAAUUAUCUCUUUAUUGUCAGUGUGACUUUUGGGCAGUGAAGAAUGUCACAGGUAGACUAAUGGUUGGCCUACGUUGGUGGCAAUCACAUUGAUGAAGAUGGAAAGAGCCUACUGGGUGUUUGAAUCGAGAAAGGAGUCCUCUCAAGAGAAUAAAACUAUGUCAGAGGCUGACUCAAGAAUCUUUUGGUUGGGACUUAUUGCCUGUCCAGUGCUAUGGGUGAUAUUUGCCUUUAGUGCACUCUUCUCCUUCAGAGUAAAAUGGUUGGCGGUGGUUAUCAUGGGUGUGGUGCUACAAGGUGCCAAUCUGUAUGGUUACAUCAGGUGUAAGGUGGGCAGCAGAAAGAAUUUAACCAGCAUGGCUACUUCAUAUUUUGGAAAGCAGUUCUUACGACAAAACACUGGAGAUGAUCAGACUUCCUGAAUAGAGAAAACUUAAUGUGCUUUGUUACAUUGGGGAACAACUGAAGAGAUUCUUGACUCUGAACCUUUUAGAGCUUAGUCCAUGUUGCAACGAGGAGUGUUGGCUUUGUUUUUCCACUUAAAAACU
Molecule: RNA transcript, 760 nt
Organism: Rhinopithecus roxellana (golden snub-nosed monkey)
Lineage: Eukaryota; Metazoa; Chordata; Mammalia; Primates; Cercopithecidae
Gene name: Golgi apparatus membrane protein TVP23 homolog B pseudogene
Exons: 1
Source: RefSeq, a predicted model, not a curated record